CUCAAAUCCCCUCCCUUAUGUUAGAUACUCUUCUGCAUUGAAUAUAUUUUGACUAGGUCUCUGACCUACAGAAGAGGAUUUGCUAUAUAUGUUUCAUUGUUUAAAAUCAGCUAAGCAGGAUUUUCACAUGCAAAAGUGAUAGCUAGACCUUAACGAAUCUUAUAACACAAAAUUAAUGUUCCUAAUUGCUCCUGUUGUAAGAUUGUAUUUGAAUUAAGUAUAUUACAUGUUAAAUUGACAUGAGCUAAAAUGUCAUGAACACGUGUUUAUGACAUCAUCAAUUGUACAGGUCAAUAUCCACUGAUAAAGAAAUCAGAAAAUAUUCCAUAUGCUCCUGCUCGUAGAAAAAUAUACAUUGUUUAUGUAUAGAUAGCUAUGUAAAAUUCUAUAUCAGUGAAUAUGGACAAAGCCCAUUGUGAAGAGCAUAUCUUGCCUGUCUUAUUUGGCUGUUGAUGCUGCAAGUAUAUUCUGUGUGAAGCUACUUUACACUUCCGAGAGAGAUGAUGUUUCAGCGAUCAAAACAGAAAAGCUGUGCAGUGGGCCAUCAAUGACACUUCUGUUUUUCUAACUCCUGUACAUACAAGACUUAAAAUAUGCUUCUCUAUGUAGUGUGGCUGUCAAAUAAAGGAUGUAAUGACUCAGACUUUCA
Molecule: long non-coding RNA, 649 nt
Filed under: Anas platyrhynchos platyrhynchos (common mallard)
Lineage: Eukaryota; Metazoa; Chordata; Aves; Anseriformes; Anatidae
Description: lncRNA (ENSAPLG00000019137.1)
Source: RNAcentral